This 224-nucleotide ribosomal RNA is filed under the name uncultured bacterium. Its description in RNAcentral is "partial 16S ribosomal RNA". It matches the Rfam family "Bacterial small subunit ribosomal RNA", at positions 111 to 334 of the family's 1533-position model. The record is from RNAcentral.
UAACACGUAACCGACCUGCCCAUCGGUCUGGGAUAGCCCUUCGAAAGGAGGAGUAAUACCGGAUGGCCUCAUAUUUAUGCAUGUAGAUAUGAGUAAAGCUUCAUGUGCCGAUGGAGGGGGUUGCGGCCUAUCAGCUGGUUGGUGAGGUAACGGCUCACCAAGGCGACGACGGGUAGCUGGUCCGAGAGGAUGGUCAGCCGGAUUGGGACUGAGACACGGCCCAA